This 95-nucleotide Y RNA is filed under the name Prolemur simus (greater bamboo lemur). RNAcentral's name for it is "Y RNA (ENSPSMG00000025706.1)". It matches the Rfam family "Y RNA". From Rfam's summary of the family: Y RNAs are components of the Ro ribonucleoprotein particle (Ro RNP), in association with Ro60 and La proteins. The Y RNAs and Ro60 and La proteins are well conserved, but the function of the Ro RNP is not known. Lineage: Eukaryota; Metazoa; Chordata; Mammalia; Primates; Lemuridae. The record is from Rfam by way of RNAcentral.
GACUGGUCCAAUGAUAGUGGUUUAUCAGAACUUAUUAACAUUAGUGUCACUAAGGUUAGUAUACAACCCCCCACUGCUAAAUUUGACUGGCUUAA